CAUUCUUUAGGUUCUGAGAUCCCAGGUCUAGCAGACAAGCUCUGCACGGGUCGGCUGAAAAGUUCACAGGGAAUAUAUUGGAAAAUGUUCAAGGGAGCGGAGGAGGCAUUUGGGGAUGUGUGUGAUAAAGAGCACCCCAAGAAAGCUCAACAGAGGCAUAAGCCAGAGUAACACUGAUGGGAAAUGUCAUUCUGUUUCUAAACUUUCCAAGCCUUUUUUCUGGAUCAGCAAUACAUAAGCAAACCUGUUAUUGAAAGAGAAAGGAUAUGGGCUGUAAUGUCACAGAAGAAGAAGAAGAAGAAGAAGAAGAAGAAG
This is a long non-coding RNA of Mesocricetus auratus (golden hamster), 315 nucleotides long. RefSeq lists it as uncharacterized. The record is from RefSeq and is a predicted model, not a curated record. NCBI's taxonomy places the organism in Eukaryota, Metazoa, Chordata, Mammalia, Rodentia, Cricetidae. The transcript has 3 exons.